CGCCCCUCCUUCGCUUCCCUCCGGUCGCCCCCCGCCGCCCUCCUUCCCUAUUUGGCCACUCCAAGCCUCCCAUCUGAUUGAACCUCCUGAGGACGGAAAAAGCAAUGGGAAAAGGGGGGGAAACUGAGGAAAAAUCAACGAAAAACAAAAGAAAGGCGUGAAAAAAAAAACAGGUAUGACCUUUUCCCACAGAUUGAUCAUUUUUUUUCCUUUUCAAUGAUUUUUCUUUUCAUUUCAUUCUCUUUUGCCGAGAUCUGUGGGGAAGGAGAGCACCUGAGGGAGAUCUGAGGUUUUUUUAGGUUCUGGUUGGGGUUUUUUCUCGAGUUGUGGCGGUGUGAAUUGGUUCCGGUCAGGGGAAGGAGAGAAGCAGAGAAUGAUCCAGCAUUUGCACAAGCUAUACUUGGUGAUGACCUUGAUAAUCUGCAGAAUGUCUUGCGAGAGCGUCAUCGGCAAAGACUAGAACUACGAUGUAAACAAGAAGAAGAACUUAGAAGGACAUUCCCUCACUCAUCCAUGAUGAAGGAAGGUUCUCUAAAUAAGCUUCUCUGGGACAAGGAUCUAUUCCAUCAUUUGUAAAUACAAUGGAUCAGCAGCAUAGUUUUUAGCUAUUUGGAAGUUAUUUCGGAGCAUCAUGCAUCGAGGAGCGAUAGAGAUGGACAAAACAUCGACGGUGGUGAUAUACAAUUAGGCACUCCAUAAUUGUUAUUAGUAUCUUUUGUUUUAUAUAUGAGAUACUUUUUUGAUGUAUGCACUUUAUAUAUGUGUAUGAUAUGCACUUUAUGUAUUUAUUAUUUAUCUUGAUAUUAUGUGUACUUAAGUGUGCUUUGACAUACUAUGCGCACUUUAUAAAGUAUGUACAUUAUUAAUUUUUUGGUGUUAUUGGAUGAAUAAUUGUUAUUA
Elaeis guineensis (African oil palm) is the source of this 900-nucleotide long non-coding RNA. RefSeq lists it as uncharacterized. NCBI's taxonomy places the organism in Eukaryota, Viridiplantae, Streptophyta, Magnoliopsida, Arecales, Arecaceae. The record is from RefSeq and is a predicted model, not a curated record.